RNAcentral lists this transfer RNA (71 nucleotides) under Nelumbo nucifera (sacred lotus). It matches the Rfam family "tRNA". From Rfam's summary of the family: Transfer RNA (tRNA) molecules are approximately 80 nucleotides in length. Their secondary structure includes four short double-helical elements and three loops (D, anti-codon, and T loops). Further hydrogen bonds mediate the characteristic L-shaped molecular structure. tRNAs have two regions of fundamental functional importance: the anti-codon, which is responsible for specific mRNA codon recognition, and the 3' end, to which the tRNAs corresponding amino acid is attached (by aminoacyl-tRNA synthetases). tRNAs cope with the degeneracy of the genetic code in two manners: having more than one tRNA (with a specific anti-codon) for a particular amino acid; and 'wobble' base-pairing, i.e. permitting non-standard base-pairing at the 3rd anti-codon position. Lineage: Eukaryota; Viridiplantae; Streptophyta; Magnoliopsida; Proteales; Nelumbonaceae. The record is from Rfam by way of RNAcentral.
ACCUACUUGACUCAAUGGUUAGAAUAUCACUUUCAUACGAUGAGUCGUUGGAUCAAAUCCAAUAGUAGGUA